CUCCUUUCCCUUUUUCUGUCGCUCGGUCGUUUCCUCUUCCGUCUCAGGACCCUUCCUUCUCCCCUUCUUUUUUUUGGUAUUUCUCACCGUCAUCUCCUUUCCGCCUCCUCAACUCCCCUUUUCUCCUCCAUCCCCGGCUGGCCGGCUCUCGUGCUAAGCCAAAUCCCUCGUCGGCGUCGUGGUCCCUGCAUCCCAGCAGUCGUCUUCCUCCAUCCAUGAAAUCUCUUGCCGCGGGGGAUUUUUCGACUGGUGCUGCGCCAUGUCUUUCGGCGACGAGUCAGCGGCGUGAUGGUGACUGAUUUAGGCGAUUCGCAGAGCGGCACGAGUCCCCGUCGUCGCGGCAUCGGGCUUUGCGGCUGCUGGAAACCCUCCUCUUUGUAUACCUUCUCCUCGCCGGAUUUGCUCUGGCCCGGCAAUCCCACGGUAGAGUGAGGUUGUUCCUAUGCACAGGGGCGAGAUUGGCCUGCCUGCUCAGAGACCACACAGGAGCGUGCGGCUCUAUUCGCCUCUUCGUCUGUAGUUUUACUGCUGUUGAAGCAUCAACAGGUGCUCACUUCCUUUCUCUCCUUGUUUUUCCUGAUAUGUCGUUGAUCUCUGAAUAAGUUGUCUAUGCAAGUUCAUUGUUGUCGCAAGUGCUCAUGGUGGUUACUGUAGAGAGAUGGUUUCAGUUUAGGCUCUGAUACUUGUAUAGCUGCAUUUUACUUGGAAUAAAUUUGGAAGCAACUUUUCUGUUUUGUUUUGAGUUAACCAAUGAUCUGCAAACUGGGACUAGCAGCAGCAGGUUUGUGGUUACUAGCAGCAGUAGAAAUUAUACUCCCUUUGUCCCGAAUUAACUGACGGGGAUUUGUAUAAGAAUCUAUACAAAUCCGCAUCGGUUAAUUCGGGGUCGGAGGGAGUAGCAAUAAUUGUUUGUGGUUAUGAUUUUUCUUUUAAUUUUAUGGUUCCAAUAGAGCAGAUAUAGUACUAUGCAAAAAGCUGAACAAGCAAUUGGCAUUGUUGAACCCGGGCCACUGGUAAUUUCAAGUUGAGAUGCAAAAGGAACAAGGAUUGCACAUUGGAUGGAUCACUGGAGAUCGAAGAGAUGGUGCUUUGGAAAGCGAAAUAGCUAAGCUAGCUAGGGGAUGAUGCGAUGAUGGUUAGAUUUGGGUGUUUAACUGAUUCAUUUCUUCUUUGGGAUGCUGCUGGUGAGAAGGUCUAAUCAAUUGACUGUUCUUCUGUUUUUCUCCCCCUCCUCCCCCCUCUCUCUCUUGGUUGUUGUAGUUUUGGAGUUUUAUUCUUCUCCUAAGCUAGCUAUGUAAGCGCUAACACAUCUGAUUUGGUUGUUUGCAAGAAAAAGAGAUGACAAGAUUUUUCAUCUCCAAAGUUAUGUUAGUACUGUAAA
Brachypodium distachyon (stiff brome) is the source of this 1381-nucleotide long non-coding RNA. RefSeq lists it as uncharacterized. Lineage: Eukaryota; Viridiplantae; Streptophyta; Magnoliopsida; Poales; Poaceae. The transcript has 2 exons. The record is from RefSeq and is a predicted model, not a curated record.